UACUAUAAGGUGUGUAGCAUAUUAAAUUUUGAUUUUAGAGGAUUAAUAUAGUAU
Molecule: transfer RNA, 54 nt
Filed under: Riccardoella tokyoensis
Lineage: Eukaryota; Metazoa; Arthropoda; Arachnida; Trombidiformes; Ereynetidae
Description: tRNA-Gln
Source: RNAcentral